Molecule: long non-coding RNA, 359 nt
Organism: Rhincodon typus (whale shark)
Lineage: Eukaryota; Metazoa; Chordata; Chondrichthyes; Orectolobiformes; Rhincodontidae
Exons: 3
Source: RefSeq, a predicted model, not a curated record
GAAACCACAAUGCGAGCAGCCAAUGGGAUGCUAGGAGUGUUUCAUAUCUGUCAAAUCUAGAGAUCACAUGCGGAUGCUGCAGGUUUCAGCAGAGGAUGAGCAGAGGGAGGACUAAGGUCUCAUUGAAAUGGCUCAUCAAAACGAUGGACCCUCUAACAGUGUGGCACUCCCUCAGCACUGCACUAACACUAUCAUCUAGAAUCUGGAUUCAAGCAUCUGGAACCCAGAACAUCCUGACUCUGAGAUACUGCCACACCAAUUGACUAUUGCCAGCAUCUACAAUGUUUUCUAUUCAAUUUGGAGAUGAACGCUGACUUCAUUAAUGGCGAUCACGCCAAAUAUAUAUCAGUACAAAAUAA